Non-coding RNA from Nicotiana sylvestris (wood tobacco), 128 nucleotides. The record is from Rfam. NCBI's taxonomy places the organism in Eukaryota, Viridiplantae, Streptophyta, Magnoliopsida, Solanales, Solanaceae.
UUGUUUGCAGAUGUAGCAUCAUCAAGAUUCACAUAAAAAACGCAUGGUGAUGAGCUGAUGAAAUGACAUUAAUGGCCAAGGCAGCUUUCUGAAGGUGAGAAUCUUGAUGAUGCUGCAUCAGCAAUAAA